GCCUGUGUGGCUCAGUCGGUUAAGCGUCUGACUUCGGCUCAGGUCAUGAUCUCGCGGUCUGUGGGUUCAAGCCCCGCGUCGGGCU
This 85-nucleotide transfer RNA is filed under the name Felis catus (domestic cat). It matches the Rfam family "tRNA". From Rfam's summary of the family: Transfer RNA (tRNA) molecules are approximately 80 nucleotides in length. Their secondary structure includes four short double-helical elements and three loops (D, anti-codon, and T loops). The record is from Rfam by way of RNAcentral. Lineage: Eukaryota; Metazoa; Chordata; Mammalia; Carnivora; Felidae.